GUAGUCCAGACCGUAAACGGUGGGCACUAGUCGUGGGAACCUUCCACGGUUUUUGCGACGCAGCUAACGCAUUAAGUGCCCCGCCUGGGGAGUACGAUCGCAAGAUUAAAACUCAAAGGAAUUGACGGGGCCCCGCACAAGCAGCGGAGCAUGCGGCUUAAUUCGACGCAACGCGAAGAACCUUACCAAGGCUUGACAUAUAGGGAAAAGUGGCAGAGAUGUCAUGUCCGCAAGGGCUCUAUACAGGUGGUGCAUGGUUGUCGUCAGCUCGUGUCGUGAGAUGUUGGGUUAAGUCCCGCAACGAGCGCAACCCUCGUUCUGUGUUGCCAGCAUUUAGUUGUGGACUCACAGGAGACUGCCGGGGUUAACUCGGAGGAAGGUGGGGAUGACGUCAAAUCAUCAUGCCCCUUAUGUCUUGGGCUGCACGCAUGCUACAAUGGCCGGUACAGAGGGCUGCAAUACCGUAAGGUGGAGCGAAUCCCAAAAAGCCGGUUUCAGUUCGGAUUGAGGUCUGCAACUCGACCUCAUGAAGUUGGAGUUGCUAGUAAUCGUAGAUCAGCAACGCUACGGUGAAUACGUUCCCGGGGCUUGUACACACCGCCCGUCACGUCACGAAAGUCGGUAACACCCAAAGUCAGUGGCCCAACCGCAAGGGGGGAGCUGCCUAAGGUGGGAUCGGUGAUUGGGACGAAGUCGUAACAAGGUAACC
Molecule: ribosomal RNA, 709 nt
Filed under: uncultured bacterium
Lineage: Bacteria
Description: bacterial SSU rRNA
Rfam family: Bacterial small subunit ribosomal RNA
Source: RNAcentral